GUGGGUAGUUUGACUGGGGCGGUCUCCUCCUAAAGAGUAACGGAGGAGCACGAAGGUUGGCUAAUCCUGGUCGGACAUCAGGAGGUUAGUGCAAUGGCAUAAGCCAGCUUGACUGCGAGCGUGACGGCGCGAGCAGGUGCGAAAGCAGGUCAUAGUGAUCCGGUGGUUCUGAAUGGAAGGGCCAUCGCUCAACGGAUAAAAGGUACUCCGGGGAUAACAGGCUGAUACCGCCCAAGAGUUCAUAUCGACGGCGGUGUUUGGCACCUCGAUGUCGGCUCAUCACAUCCUGGGGCUGAAGUAGGUCCCAAGGGUAUGGCUGUUCGCCAUUUAAAGUGGUACGCGAGCUGGGUUUAGAACGUCGUGAGACAGUUCGGUCCCUAUCUGCCGUGGGCGCUGGAGAACUGAGGGGGGCUGCUCCUAGUACGAGAGGACCGGAGUGGACGCAUCACUGGUGUUCGGGUUGUCAUGCCAAUGGCACUGCCCGGUAGCUAAAUGCGGAAGAGAUAAGUGCUGAAAGCAUCUAAGCACGAAACUUGCCCCGAGAUGAGUUCUCCCUGAGACUUAGAGUCUCCUGAAGGAACGUUGAAGACGACGACGUUGAUAGGCCGGGUGUGUAAGCGCAGCGAUGCGUUGAGCUAACCGGUACUAAUGAACCGUGAGGCUUAACCUUACAACGCCGAAGCUGU
This 686-nucleotide ribosomal RNA is filed under the name Salmonella enterica subsp. enterica serovar Bareilly. RNAcentral's name for it is "partial 23S ribosomal RNA". It matches the Rfam family "Bacterial large subunit ribosomal RNA", at positions 2261 to 2925 of the family's 2925-position model. The record is from RNAcentral. Lineage: Bacteria; Pseudomonadati; Pseudomonadota; Gammaproteobacteria; Enterobacterales; Enterobacteriaceae.